AUUGAACGCUGGCGGCAUGCUUUACACAUGCAAGUCGAACGGUAACAGGCCUUCGGGUGCUGACGAGUGGCGAACGGGUGAGUAAUGCAUCGGAACGUACCCAGAGGUGGGGGAUAACGCAGCGAAAGCUGUGCUAAUACUGCAUGUGAUCUGAGGAUGAAAGCGGGGGACCGAGCAGCAAUGUUUGGCCUCGCGCCUUUGGAGCGGCCGAUGUCGGAUUAGCUAGUUGGUGGGGUAAAGGCCUACCAAGGCGACGAUCCGUAGCUGGUCUGAGAGGACGACCAGCCACACUGGGACUGAGACACGGCCCAGACUCCUACGGGAGGCAGCAGUGGGGAAUUUUGUACAAUGGGCGCAAGCCUGAUCCAGCAAUGCCGCGUGCGGGAAGAAGGCCUUCGGGUUGUAAACCGCUUUUGGCAGGAACGAAACGGUGUCCGCUAAUACCGGGCGCUAAUGACGGUACCUGCAGAAUAAGCACCGGCUAACUACGUG
RNAcentral lists this ribosomal RNA (492 nucleotides) under uncultured bacterium. RNAcentral's name for it is "partial 16S ribosomal RNA". It matches the Rfam family "Bacterial small subunit ribosomal RNA", at positions 30 to 507 of the family's 1533-position model. The record is from RNAcentral.